RNAcentral lists this ribosomal RNA (253 nucleotides) under uncultured bacterium. Its description in RNAcentral is "partial 16S ribosomal RNA". It matches the Rfam family "Bacterial small subunit ribosomal RNA", at positions 524 to 776 of the family's 1533-position model. The record is from RNAcentral.
UACGAAGGGGGCUAGCGUUGCUCGGAAUCACUGGGCGUAAAGCGCACGUAGGCGGCUUGUUAAGUCAGGGGUGAAAUCCUGGAGCUCAACUCCAGAACUGCCUUUGAUACUGGCGAGCUCGAGUCCGGGAGAGGUGAGUGGAACUGCGAGUGUAGAGGUGAAAUUCGUAGAUAUUAGGAAGAACACCAGUGGCGAAGGCGGCCAACUGGCCCGAUACUGACGCUCAUGUGCGAAAGCGUGGGGAGCAAACAGG